This is a long non-coding RNA of Herpailurus yagouaroundi (jaguarundi), 1022 nucleotides long. RefSeq lists it as uncharacterized. The transcript is spliced from 3 exons. The record is from RefSeq and is a predicted model, not a curated record. NCBI's taxonomy places the organism in Eukaryota, Metazoa, Chordata, Mammalia, Carnivora, Felidae.
GGAAACUGAACCUGCUUAAGAUUCAAUUUGGAAAAGAAAAAAAAAAAAAGAUUCAAUUCACUCCACCCCAGUGAAGACCAUGGUUUUUGCAAAGCUGAAGGAAAUUCAAGUAAUAAUGACGAUCGGGGAGCGCAGCAUGUAUGUGGAAUCCUGCUGGAGAAAGUCGGGAUGGUGUGGCCCUUCCUUGUCAUCCACAGCUUUGCCUGCUGAAGCCCUCUGUUGAAACUGUUCGCCCCCGAUCAGGAGCUGAGACGUGAUGUUGGUGAAAACCCUGGGAAGCCCCGUCUUCAUCUCGCACAAAGAGGGAAGUAACAACCCAGAUGGAAUUCAGCCCAGACUAUGCUGCUGAACUGCUGUUGGCAGAGCUGUUAAAACAGAAUCAUCCACGUUUGGAGACAGGUUCUGAUGUUGUACUCUUGUGUUCUGACGUUAAUUCCCUACAGAGGCCCUAUGACAAAUCUAGAGCCCCGUAGGCAAGGGAUACUCCCACGUUAAUUACCCCAGGAAGAAGUGCAUUCUACAGGAGGGAAUGGAAACUGAUAAUUCGGGGUUAGAUUGGCUUGGGAUGUGAACCCAUCUAGAGGAAGACUCAGCGGGGAAGUGGAUGGAGGCUGGCUCCGUUGUGUGGGUUUUCUGCCGGUAGGAUGGGACGCUGUCAGGAGACCAGCUCAAGGGUACUCUAGCAGAGAAUGAGACUCCCUGUCUCCAUGCACGUUGGGUCAAGGCAUCCAACAAGGGUGACGCUUGUCCGAGGGGCUCUGGCAGCCGCGGUAUCCAUUGCGAGCUAAAAGAAAACUGUUGUCCAUUGCAUUGAAAUGACUUUCUAUAACCCUGAACCUUGAGUAAAGUCUUACUAAAGACUGCAACCUGUCUCAAUUGUGCAAGGAGAAAACAAAGAGCUGGUUCUGCGCUUGCCCCAUGUGCGAAGGAUUUGCCAUCGUUAGACAAGACACGGAUGUCUUGAUGUGAUUUAAAACUUUUUAUAUUCAUCGUGGAUUUUUUUGCAUUCAUUAAAAAAACAU